AGCAAGUGUCCGCUGUACCUGGCCUGCUACCACCUAAAGGCUGAGCGCAGCCAGCAGGACUGGGAAAGGCAGGGCGAUGAUGGCAGUGAAGGAUGGAGUCUCACUCUGUCGCCCAGGCUGGAGUGCCGUGGUGCGAUUUCGGCUCACUGCAACCUCCGCCUCCCAGGUUCAAGCAAUUCUCUGCCUCAGCAUCCCAAGUAGCUGGGAUUACAGGUGCCCGCCACCACGCCGAGCUCAUUUUUGUAUUUUUAGUAGAGACAGGGUUUCACCAUCUUGGCCAGGCUGGUCUUGAAUUCCUGACCUCAAGUGAUCCACCCGCCUUGGUGUCUCAAAGUGUUGGGAUUACAGAAGUGAGCCACCAUGCCUGGCCAACUUGACAUAACUUUUAAAGAUGGAUUGCCAAGCUGAGACAAAAGCUGACCGUAUGUCCUAUCAUCAAUGGGGAAGACCACCUUCGUUUGUUGAACUUUCAACACAAUUUUAUAACUCGGAUACAAAAUAUUUCUAAUCUACAGAAGUUAAUAUCCUUGGAUUUAUAUGAUAACCAGAUUGAAGAAA
RNAcentral lists this small RNA (558 nucleotides) under Pongo abelii (Sumatran orangutan). RNAcentral describes it as "processed transcript". The record is from RNAcentral. Lineage: Eukaryota; Metazoa; Chordata; Mammalia; Primates; Hominidae.